UACAGAGGGUGCGAGCGUUAAUCGGAAUUACUGGGCGUAAAGGGCGCGUAGGUGGUUUGUUAAGAUUGUUGUGAAAUCCCUGGGCUUAACCUAGGAACUGCAACGAUGACUGACAAGCUUGAGUAUUGUAGAGGGUAGUGGAAUUUCCGGUGUAGCGGUGAAAUGCGUAGAGAUCGGAAGGAACACCAGUGGCGAAGGCGGCUACCUGGACAAAUACUGACACUGAGGCGCGAGAGCGUGGGGAGCAAACAGG
This 253-nucleotide ribosomal RNA is filed under the name uncultured bacterium. Its description in RNAcentral is "partial 16S ribosomal RNA". It matches the Rfam family "Bacterial small subunit ribosomal RNA", at positions 524 to 776 of the family's 1533-position model. The record is from RNAcentral.